UAGCAACCAAACAGCCUCACAUGUUGCUGUCAAGUGGCACCAAGAGCUCCAGCUGUUGUAAGAGAUCAUAUCUUGACUCUGUCCCAUGGAACCAAAUUGCUUCUUUUCCUGCUUCACUUCAUUCGGUGGGCGAUUAGUGGGUUUCCAACUGGAAUAUAAAGAUAAUAUCCUCCAACUAGACCAAGCCUGUGAUGCUGAGCGCCAAGAAUUCCUUUGUCCUGGUCUAACUGUUGGGAUACGCCACCGUCUCCAAAGGCUGCAAAGGUCCACAGAAUAAUGCUAAAAAACACCGCAUCCCGGGACAGCUCCCAUCUUCAGGUGGCUCCGGCUCUCGGUUUUCGGCCUCGUGCCUAACACAACUCACCCGAGGCAUCGAGAUAUCCCAGCAUAACACAAACCUUGUCAUGUCUUAUUGCUUAAAUAACACAAUAAGGAAAUUAAAAGGCUUGCUGGUUAUGAUUUUCAUUGUUA
RNAcentral lists this long non-coding RNA (471 nucleotides) under Numida meleagris (helmeted guineafowl). RNAcentral's name for it is "lncRNA (ENSNMEG00000015767.1)". Lineage: Eukaryota; Metazoa; Chordata; Aves; Galliformes; Numididae. The record is from RNAcentral.